GAUGAACGCUGGCGGCGUGCCUAAUACAUGCAAGUCGAGCGAACAGACGAGGAGCUUGCUCCUCUGACGUUAGCGGCGGACGGGUGAGUAACACGUGGAUAACCUACCUAUAAGACUGGGAUAACUUCGGGAAACCGGAGCUAAUACCGGAUAAUAUAUUGAACCGCAUGGUUCAAUAGUGAAAGACGGUUUUGCUGUCACUUAUAGAUGGAUCCGCGCCGCAUUAGCUAGUUGGUAAGGUAACGGCUUACCAAGGCGACGAUGCGUAGCCGACCUGAGAGGAUGAUCGGCCACACUGGAACUGAGACACGGUCCAGACUCCUACGGGAGGCAGCAGUAGGGAAUCUUCCGCAAUGGGCGAAAGCCUGACGGAGCAACGCCGCGUGAGUGAUGAAGGUCCUCGGAUCGUAAAACUCUGUUAUUAGGGAAGAACAAAUGUGUAAGUAACUAUGCACGUCUUGACGGUACCUAAUCAGAAAGCCACGGCUAACUACGUG
Molecule: ribosomal RNA, 497 nt
Filed under: uncultured bacterium
Lineage: Bacteria
Description: partial 16S ribosomal RNA
Rfam family: Bacterial small subunit ribosomal RNA
Source: RNAcentral